This is a non-coding RNA of Gasterosteus aculeatus (three-spined stickleback), 45 nucleotides long. The record is from Rfam. Lineage: Eukaryota; Metazoa; Chordata; Actinopteri; Perciformes; Gasterosteidae.
ACAACGGCUCUUUUAAGAGCCUUUCAUCUAUAAAAAGCGGUUUCU